RNAcentral lists this transfer-messenger RNA (366 nucleotides) under Betaproteobacteria bacterium. It matches the Rfam family "transfer-messenger RNA". From Rfam's summary of the family: Bacterial tmRNA, also known as 10Sa RNA or SsrA, is named for its dual tRNA and mRNA-like properties. Its role is to liberate the mRNA from a stalled ribosome. The record is from RNAcentral. Lineage: Bacteria; Pseudomonadati; Pseudomonadota; Betaproteobacteria. RNAcentral also lists the same sequence under 1 other name.
GGGGGCGACCUGGUUUCGACAGGUGCAGUGAAGCGAGCAGGGCAUGCCGAGCGCCAACGCCUCGUUAAACCGCUGGAAUCGCAAACUUAACUGCGAACGACAACACGUACGCCCUGGCCGCUUAAUACCGGCCAGCUCCGCACCAGUUUUUCCAUGGGUUGGGCCAGUUCACCGGCAGCGGAGUCAUAAACAUGGAAUCGGAAUUCAUCGCGUCACUUGGUGAAGACCUAAACCAAUAGGUGGCUCGUGGGAAAGGCCGGGAGCUGGUUCGCGGCCGACUCGCUAAAGCAGAACAACCGGCUACGCAUGUAGAACUGUUUGUGGAAUGGCAUCUGGACGCGGGUUCGAUUCCCGCCGCCUCCACCA